This 18-nucleotide unclassified non-coding RNA is filed under the name Chlamydomonas reinhardtii. RNAcentral's name for it is "small RNA Cre_2964". Lineage: Eukaryota; Viridiplantae; Chlorophyta; Chlorophyceae; Chlamydomonadales; Chlamydomonadaceae. The record is from RNAcentral.
UGAUGGCGCGAGGGAAGG